Molecule: transfer RNA, 74 nt
Filed under: Balneolaceae bacterium
Lineage: Bacteria; Pseudomonadati; Balneolota; Balneolia; Balneolales; Balneolaceae
Also listed under: 4 other names
Description: tRNA-Val
Rfam family: tRNA
About the family: Transfer RNA (tRNA) molecules are approximately 80 nucleotides in length. Their secondary structure includes four short double-helical elements and three loops (D, anti-codon, and T loops).
Source: RNAcentral
GGGCGAUUAACUCAGCGGUUUAGAGUGCUUCCCUUACAAGGAAGAAGUCGUAGGUUCGAAUCCUUCAUCGCCCA